GGGUCCGCACAAGCGGUGGAGCAUGUGGUUUAAUUCGAUGAUACGCGAGGAACCUUACCUGGGCUACAAUGCCCGCGACCGGUCUGGAGACAGACCUUCCCUUCGGGGCGCGGUGCAAGGUGCUGCAUGGCCGUCGUCAGCUCGUGCCGUGAGUGUUGGGUUAAGUCCCCGCAACGAGCGCAACCCCUACUCUUAGUUGCCAUCGGGUAAAGCCGGGGACUCUAGGAGGACUGCCCGCGCAAGCGGAGAGGAAGGCGGGGGACGAUGUCAGGUCAUCAUGGCCCUUACGCCCAGGGCGACACACGUGCUACAAUGGCGCAUACAGAGGGUCGCGAAGCAGCAAUGCC
RNAcentral lists this ribosomal RNA (347 nucleotides) under uncultured bacterium. RNAcentral's name for it is "bacterial SSU rRNA". It matches the Rfam family "Bacterial small subunit ribosomal RNA", at positions 917 to 1264 of the family's 1533-position model. The record is from RNAcentral.